ACGUACGGUCAUGACAGUUAGGUCCGGAUCAACCCCGUAGUAGCCCAAACCAUCAUCAUGUUUUUAAUAAGAUCAACUAACCUAUUUUUCUUCGAUCAUUCGAUUAAAAUCAGAGGGUCCAAAUAACCCUGAACCAUAGCAACCUAACUAUUUAAGAGGUCACAACCUAACUCUAGAAUCUGUCCCAUCCAUCCGUACAUCUUGUCCCCGCCGCCACCACCUCGUUUUGCAGAUCCAAC
RNAcentral lists this long non-coding RNA (239 nucleotides) under Hordeum vulgare. RNAcentral's name for it is "long non-coding RNA (HVUL_LNC018912)". Lineage: Eukaryota; Viridiplantae; Streptophyta; Magnoliopsida; Poales; Poaceae. The record is from RNAcentral.